CCUACGGGUGGCAGCAGUGGGGAAUAUUGCACAAUGGGCGAAAGCCUGAUGCAGCAACGCCGCGUGCGCGAUGAAGGCCCUCUGGUCGUUAAGCUCUGUCCUUAAGGAAGAUAAUGACGGUACUUGUGGAGGAAGCCCCGGCAAACUACGUGCCAGCAGCCGCGGUAACACGUAGGGGGCUAGCGUUAUCCGGAAUUACUGGGCGUAAAGGGUGCGUAGGUGGUUUCUUAAGUCAGAGGGGAAAGGCUACGGCUCAACCGUAGUAAGCCUUUGAAACUGGGGAACUUGAGUGCAGGAGAGGAAAGUGGAAUUCCUGGGGUAGCGGUGAAAUGCGUAGAUAUUAGGAGGAACACCAGUUGCGAAGGCAGCUCUCUGGACUGUAACUGACACUGAGGCACGAAAGCGUGGGGAGCAAACAGGAUUAGAUACCCCAGUAGUC
Molecule: ribosomal RNA, 439 nt
Filed under: uncultured bacterium
Lineage: Bacteria
Description: partial 16S ribosomal RNA
Rfam family: Bacterial small subunit ribosomal RNA
Source: RNAcentral